CAGCACCAGAUGCCUCUGUUCCGGAAGAAGAUGGUGUGGGAAAUCCUUCAUCAGCAGUUGCUGUACUGAGCUGUCAGAAGUGCAUGAAGGCCUCUCUCUGCACCCUGGUCCUGACUUGGUGUGCAGCGGGCUGCUUGCAACCCUGUUUAUAAGGCUGUGCCUGCUCAGAGCCCUGGACUAUCAACCCACACAAGAACAUAUGCUAAUUAAUACUUUUUUUUAAAGAUUUUUUUUUUCUCUAUGAACGUGGGAAGUGCAGAUUUUAUUUUAUGAUUUGUUUUUUCUUUG
RNAcentral lists this long non-coding RNA (288 nucleotides) under Capra hircus (goat). RNAcentral describes it as "lncRNA (ENSCHIG00010012121.1)". Lineage: Eukaryota; Metazoa; Chordata; Mammalia; Artiodactyla; Bovidae. The record is from RNAcentral.